RNAcentral lists this ribosomal RNA (498 nucleotides) under uncultured bacterium. RNAcentral describes it as "partial 16S ribosomal RNA". It matches the Rfam family "Bacterial small subunit ribosomal RNA", at positions 30 to 523 of the family's 1533-position model. The record is from RNAcentral.
AUUGAACGCUGGCGGCAUGCCUUACACAUGCAAGUCGAACGGUAACAGGUCUUCGGAUGCUGACGAGUGGCGAACGGGUGAGUAAUACAUCGGAACGUGCCUAGUAGUGGGGGGUAACUACUCGAAAGAGUGGCUAAUACCGCAUGAGAUCUACGGAUGAAAGCAGGGGAUCGCAAGACCUUGUGCUACUAGAGCGGCCGAUGGCAGAUUAGGUAGUUGGUGGGAUAAAAGCUUACCAAGCCGACGAUCUGUAGCUGGUCUGAGAGGACGAUCAGCCACACUGGGACUGAGACACGGCCCAGACUCCUACGGGAGGCAGCAGUGGGGAAUUUUGGACAAUGGGCGCAAGCCUGAGCCAGCAAUGCCGCGUGCAGGAUGAAGGCCUUCGGGUUGUAAACUGCUUUUGUACGGAACGAAAAGCCCCGGGUUAAUACCCUGGGGUCAUGACGGUACCGUAAGAAUAAGCACCGGCUAACUACGUGCCAGCAGCCGCCGCAG